UACAGAGGUCUCAAGCGUUGUUCGGAAUUACUGGGCGUAAAGCGUGCGUAGGCGGCUUGGUAAGUCAGAUGUGAAAUCCCGGGGCUCAACCUCGGAACUGCAUCCGAUACUGCCAGGCUUGAGUAGUGGAGGGGAGUCUGGAAUUCACGGUGUAGCAGUGAAAUGCGUAGAUAUCGUGAGGAACACUAGUGGCGAAGGCGAGACUCUGGACACUUACUGACGCUGAGGCACGAAGGCUAGGGUAGCGAAAGGG
Molecule: ribosomal RNA, 253 nt
Filed under: uncultured bacterium
Lineage: Bacteria
Description: partial 16S ribosomal RNA
Rfam family: Bacterial small subunit ribosomal RNA
Source: RNAcentral